AGUGAACGCUGGCGGUAGGCCUAACACAUGCAAGUCGAACGGCAGCACAGGAGAGCUUGCUCUCUGGGUGGCGAGUGGCGGACGGGUGAGGAAUACAUCGGAAUCUACUCUGUCGUGGGGGAUAACGUAGGGAAACUUACGCUAAUACCGCAUACGACCUACGGGUGAAAGCAGGGGACCUUCGGGCCUUGCGCGAUUGAAUGAGCCGAUGUCGGAUUAGCUAGUUGGCGGGGUAAAGGCCCACCAAGGCGACGAUCCGUAGCUGGUCUGUGGGGGUGAGCAGCCACGCUGGAACCGAAACACGGUCCAGCCUCCUACGGGAGGCGGCAGUGGGAAAUAUUGGACAAUGGGCGUAAGCCUGAUCCAGCCAUACCGCGUGGGUGAAGAAGGCCUUCGGGUUGUAAAGCCCUUUUGUUGGGAAAGAAAUCCAGCUGGCUAAUACCCGGUUGGGAUGACGGUACCCAAAGAAUAAGCACCGGCUAACUUCGUGCCAGCCGCCGCAGUAA
RNAcentral lists this ribosomal RNA (506 nucleotides) under uncultured bacterium. RNAcentral describes it as "partial 16S ribosomal RNA". It matches the Rfam family "Bacterial small subunit ribosomal RNA", at positions 29 to 523 of the family's 1533-position model. The record is from RNAcentral.